GACGAACGCUGGCGGCGUGCUUAACACAUGCAAGUCGAACGGAAAGGCCCUGUUUUUGUGGGCUGCUCGCGUGGCGAUCGGGUGAGCAACACGUGAGUACCCUGCCCCUGACUGUGGGAUAACCUCAGGUAACUGGGGCUCAUCCCGCAUAGGAGCUCCUGCUGCAUGGUGGGGGCUGGAUAGUUUCGGCGGUUGGGGAUGGACUCGCGGCUUAUCAGCUUGUUGGUGGGGUAGUGGCCUACCAAGGUUUUGCCGUGUAGCCGGCCUGCGCGGGUGACCGGCCACAUUGGGACUGUGAUACGGCCCAGACGCCUAUGGGACGCAGCAGUGGGGAAUGGUGCACUAUGGGCGGAACCCUGGUGCAGCAACGCCGCGUCCGGGAGGACAGCCUUCGGGUUGUAUACCGCUGUCGCCUGUGACGAAGCGGGAGUGACGGUAACGGGUAAAGAAGCACCGGCUAACUACGUG
This 468-nucleotide ribosomal RNA is filed under the name uncultured bacterium. Its description in RNAcentral is "partial 16S ribosomal RNA". It matches the Rfam family "Bacterial small subunit ribosomal RNA", at positions 28 to 507 of the family's 1533-position model. The record is from RNAcentral.